GAUGAAGAACGUAGUGAAAUGCGAUAAGUAAUGUGAAUUGCAGAAUUCAGUGAAUCAUCGAAUCUUUGAACGCACCUUGCGCCCUUUGGCCAUUCCGAAGGGUAUGCCUGUUUGAGUAUCAUGAACACCUCAACUCUCAUGGCUCGCCAUGAUGAGCUUGGACUUUGGGGGUCUUGCUGGCCUGUGGUCGGCUCCUCUCAAAUGGAUCAGCUUGCCAGUGUUUGGUGGCAUCACAGGUGUGAUAACUAUCUGCGCUUGUGGUUUUCCAUCAGAUAACCUUCAGUGAUGGAGGUUCGCUGGAGCUCAUAAACGUCUCCCCUAAGCGGGGACAGCCCUUUGAAUGUUUGAUCUCAAAUCAGGUAGGACUACCCGCUGAACUUAAGCAUAUCAAUAAGCGGAGGA
RNAcentral lists this unclassified non-coding RNA (402 nucleotides) under soil metagenome. RNAcentral's name for it is "partial contains 5.8S ribosomal RNA, internal transcribed spacer 2, and large subunit ribosomal RNA". The stretch from base 1 to 121 matches the Rfam family "5.8S ribosomal RNA", at positions 35 to 154 of the family's 154-position model. The record is from RNAcentral.